GGCGCGAUGGUAGCCGCCUCACACGUCCGCCUGUUGACCGUCGCGCCCAUUGGGCGCGAUGGUAGCCGCGCCGCACAUCCGCCUGUUGACCGUCGCGCCCAUUGGGCGCGAUGGUAGCCGCGCUCACAUCCGCCUGUUCACCGUCGCGCCCAUUGGGCGCGAUGGUAGCCGCGCUGCACAUCCGCCUGUUUACCGUCGCGCCCAUUGGGCGCGAUGGUAGCCGCGCUGCACAUCCGCCUGUUGACCGUCGCGCCCAUUGGGCGCGAUGGUAGCCGCGCCGCACAUCCGCCUGUUCACCGUCGCGCCCAUUGGGCGCGAUGGUAGCCGCGCUGCACAUCCGCCUGUUUACCGUCGCGCCCAUUGGGCGCGAUGGUAGCCACGCCGCACAUCCGCCUGUUUACCGUCGCGCCCAUUGGGCGCGAUGGUAGCCGCACCGCACAUCCGCCUGUUCACCGUCGCGCCCAUUGGGCGCGAUGGUAGCCGCGCCGCACAUCCGCCUGUUUACCGUCGCGCCCAUUGGGCGCGAUGGUAGCCGCCUCACACAUCCGCCUGUUGACCGUCGCGCCCAUUGGGCGCGAUGGUAGCCGCCCGCACAUCCGCCUGUUGACCGUCGCGCCCAUUGGGCGCGAUGGUAGCCGCGCCGCACAUCCGCCUGUUCACCGUCGCGCCCAUUGGGCGCGAUGGUAGCCGCGCUGCACAUCCGCCUGUUUACCGUCGCGCCCAUUGGGCGCGAUGGUAGCCACGCCGCACAUCCGCCUGUUUACCGUCGCGCCCAUUGGGCGCGAUGGUAGCCGCACCGCACAUCCGCCUGUUGACCAUGGCGCCCAUUGGGCGCGAUGGUAGCCGCGCCGCACAUCCGCCUGUUUACCGUCGCGCCCAUUGGGCGCGAUGGUAGCCGCCUCACACGUCCGCCUGUUGACCGUCGCGCCCAUUGGGCGCGAUGGUAGCCGCCUCACACGUCCGCCUGUUCACCGUCGCGCCCAUUGGGCGCGAUGGUAGCCGCGCCGCACAUCCGCCUGUUCACCGUCGCGCCCAUUGGGCGCGAUGGUAGCCGCACCGCACAUCCGCCUGUUCACCGUCGCGCCCAUUGGGCGCGAUGGUAGCCGCCUCACACGUCCGCCUGUUCACCGUCGCGCCCAUUGGGCGCGAUGGUAGCCCGCCGCACAUCCGCCUGUUUACCGUCGCGCCCAUUGGGCGCGAUGGUAGCCGCGCCGCACAUCCGCCUGUUCACCGUCGCGCCCAUUGGGCGCGAUGGUAGCCGCGCUGCACAUCCGCCUGUUUACCGUCGCGCCCAUUGGGCGCGAUGGUAGCC
RNAcentral lists this long non-coding RNA (1312 nucleotides) under Volvox carteri. RNAcentral describes it as "long non-coding RNA (VCAR_LNC003819)". The record is from RNAcentral. Lineage: Eukaryota; Viridiplantae; Chlorophyta; Chlorophyceae; Chlamydomonadales; Volvocaceae.